UUGCUUCAGCAGCAAAUUUACUAAAAUUGGAACAGUACAGAGGUAAGCAUGGUCCCUGCACAAGGAUGACAUGCAAAUUCCUGAAGUGUUUCAUAUUAAG
Small nuclear RNA from Ailuropoda melanoleuca (giant panda), 100 nucleotides. NCBI's taxonomy places the organism in Eukaryota, Metazoa, Chordata, Mammalia, Carnivora, Ursidae. The record is from Ensembl.